This 448-nucleotide ribosomal RNA is filed under the name uncultured bacterium. RNAcentral describes it as "bacterial SSU rRNA". It matches the Rfam family "Bacterial small subunit ribosomal RNA", at positions 329 to 794 of the family's 1533-position model. The record is from RNAcentral.
GCCCAGACUCCUACGGGAGGCAGCAGUGGGGAAUAUUGCACAAUGGGGGAAACCCUGAUGCAGCGACGCCGCGUGAGCGAUGAAGUAUUUCGGUAUGUAAAGCUCUAUCAGUAGGGAAGAAGAUGACGGUACCUGACUAAGAAGCCCCGGCUAACUACGUGCCAGCAGCCGCGGUAAUACGUAGGGGGCAAGCGUUAUCCGGAUUUACUGGGUGUAAAGGGAGCGUAGACGGCGAUGCAAGCCAGAUGUGAAAGCCCGGGGCUCAACCCCGGGACUGCAUUUGGAACUGUGUGGCUGGAGUGUCGGAGAGGCAGGCGGAAUUCCUAGUGUAGCGGUGAAAUGCGUAGAUAUUAGGAGGAACACCAGUGGCGAAGGCGGCCUGCUGGACGAUGACUGACGUUGAGGCUCGAAAGCGUGGGGAGCAAACAGGAUUAGAUACCCGGGUAUA